GCCGGAGUGGUGGAAUGGAAGACACGGGGGACUCAAAAUCCCCUGGGCUUUAUGCCCGUGUGGGUUCAAAUCCCACCUCCGGCACCA
RNAcentral lists this transfer RNA (87 nucleotides) under Candidatus Desulfofervidus auxilii. RNAcentral describes it as "tRNA-Leu". It matches the Rfam family "tRNA". From Rfam's summary of the family: Transfer RNA (tRNA) molecules are approximately 80 nucleotides in length. RNAcentral also lists the same sequence under 5 other names. The record is from RNAcentral. Lineage: Bacteria; Pseudomonadati; Thermodesulfobacteriota; Candidatus Desulfofervidia; Candidatus Desulfofervidales; Candidatus Desulfofervidaceae.